This 1867-nucleotide long non-coding RNA is filed under the name Fragaria vesca (wild strawberry). RNAcentral's name for it is "long non-coding RNA (FVES_LNC000518)". The record is from RNAcentral. Lineage: Eukaryota; Viridiplantae; Streptophyta; Magnoliopsida; Rosales; Rosaceae.
AGACAUACACCUCAAUAGAUAACAGGAUAGAGUUUUAUAUUUAUAUUUCUACUGAUUAUAUUCAAGUUAAUCUCAAAACUAUUUUAUGCAGACAAAGAUAAAUACAGCGUCCAAUAUUAUUUUCCAACAACUACAAGUACACAGAAAAUGUAAUUUAUUCCCAACAAUGCGUAAAGCGUAUUUGCAAUAGGGCAGACACAGUACUACUGACCGAAAAUCACACCACAGUUAUCUAUACCUGAGAUUAGAAACCAAAACAAGAAUGAAGUGAACAAAACAGAGGUAUUUUGGAAUACCUCAUAAUAUUAUGCUUCUUCUGUUCCUGUUCUUCCUUCUAUGCCAGUCGAACUCGCAACCAGUUGGUAUCUGAGAGUAUCUCAAAACCAACAGGCCGCAUAGGGACCAGCGGUAAGCUCACUCGUGUUGUUUGUUUCUAAAUGAUGCCAAACGAGUAAACUUCAUGACUUGAGAGAACCUCUCAAAGCCACCAGGCCACAGUGGGACCAGCGUUGAUAUCUUCCGAGUUGUAUAAUUGAAGAAGGUCGGGUCUAUUUCUUGAUUGGUCUUCUGAAAAAGACAGAGGUACAAAUGCAGUUAGUUCAGAUUUCAGAAGAGAAAUAAAAAAAACAGAGGUAUUUUAGAAUACCUCAUUUGGUAAUAACUAGCUAGCUAGAUCAGGACUUGCUGUUUGGUUCAUGCUGUGAAUGCCAGUCGAUCUUGGGAUCUGAUGGUCUUUCCAAUUAAGGCAAAGCCAACGGACCACCAAGCGACCAGCAACACUAUGGAUCUUGUUUAUUAACUUAUAGUCUACAAGUGAACAAAUGUUUCCUAAAAAAAAAGUGAAAACAAAUAUUUGAGUAAAUGUCAUAAAUGCGAGGCGAAACAUAUUCAACUCAAACUUAGGACUUUUAUUGAAACAAAACCCGAAAGUAUGCCGAUAAUCAACAUUACGAUGGAUGGUAGGACUAGAAUUAAGACUACUCAAAUAGGUCUUUUGGAAUAAAACAGAGGUAUUUUGGAAUACCUCAUUUGGUUAUAUAUAGACACACAGACAACUAGCAAGCGUUGUUGUUUCCUUGUUGCCGCUGGCUGCUGAUGCCAGUCGAUCUGGUGAUGUCGUGGUCCUUGCAAUUAAAGCAAAGCCAUUAGACCACCCAAAUGAGCAGCGCAAAGUUAUGUCAUCUUUAUAUACUUAAUAAUCGGGAAUGUGGGAUCUACAGCAUGCAAGGACAAACAUACUCAACAUGAAUUUAGGACUUUUCUUGUGAAGAAAACUUGAAAUUGUGAGUUUGUGACUUCCAUUCAAAAUUCGAUAGUGAAUAUGGGUUUUGCUCAGCACAACAAUCCACCGGUAAUAAGCAUUACAGUGGAUGGUUGAACUAGGACUACUAGUACUCCUCGAGUAGGCAUUGUAGCGAUAACAAAUGAACCGACCAUGCAAGUCGUCACCUUGAUGUGUGGGAGGAAGAGCAACACAGAUCUGGCUGGAUGUCUUUCAUUUCUAGGCUGCGCAUGCUUUACAGUUAGAUACAGCUAAUAUUGGCGGUCCUUAAAAGCACCUCGUUGUAAUCUUAUUUUUCUUGGACAUCAUAAAUUUAUGCAGAGCACAAAACUAAGUCAUGCAUCGUGCUUGUUUUAACCCCAAGUGCAGUAGUGGUAGCAACAAUAGUAGUACCACUUGGAUUAACACAAUAACACUACAACCUCUUAGUCUCUUAUUGCUGAUCGAUCUUUCACCAGUAGAUAGACGAAGACGAUCAACCUGUCUCUAAUACUUGAACCAUGCAUCAUCAACAUGUCUCAUGGUGGUAGGCAGCUGCCCAAAAUCGAUUUGGAUUUACACUUGAACAAUUAAAUGACACAGAGG